GCCCCGGUGGCACAAUCGGUUAGCGCGCCGUACUUAUAAUGCGGAGGUUGUGAGUUCGAUCCUCACUCGGGGCA
This is a non-coding RNA of Macrostomum lignano, 74 nucleotides long. The record is from Rfam. NCBI's taxonomy places the organism in Eukaryota, Metazoa, Platyhelminthes, Macrostomidae.